AGUAGAUCGAGUCGUACCCGGGAUCCUCUAGAGUCUGGUUGACCCUGCCGGACCCGACUGCUAUCAGAGUGGGACUAAGCCAUGCGAGUCAACGUAGCAAUGCGUGGCGAACGGCUCAGUAACACGUAGUCAACAUGCCCAGGGGACGUGGAUAACCUCGGGAAACUGAGAUUAAACCGCGAUAGGUCAAGAUUUCUGGAAUGGAUCGUGUCUUAAAUCUACAUGGCCCCUGGAUUGGACUGCGGCCGAUCAGGCUGUUGGUGAGGUAAUGGCCCACCAAACCUAUAACCGGUACGGGCUCUGAGAGGAGAAGCCCGGAGAUGGGCACUGAGACAAGGGCCCAGGCCCUAUGGGGCGCAGCAGGCGCGAAACCUCUGCAAUGGGCGAAAGCCUGACAGGGUUACUCUGAGUGAUUUCCGCUAAGGAGAUCUUUUGGCAGCUCUAAAAAUGGUGCAGAAUAAGGGGUGGGCAAGUCUGGUGUCAGCCGCCGCGGUAAUACCAGCACCCCGAGUGGUCGGGACGAUUAUUGGGCCUAAAGCAUCCGUAGCCGGUUGUGCAAGUCCUCCGUUAAAUCCAGCCGCUCAACGGAUGGGCUGCGGAGGAUACUACAGGACUAGGAGGCGGGAGAGGCAAGCGGUACUUAGUGGGUAGGGGUAAAAUCCUUUGAUCCAUUGAAGACCACCAGUGGCGAAGGCGGCUUGCCAGAACGCGCUCGACGGUGAGGGAUGAAAGCUGGGGGAGCAAACCGGAUUAGAUACCCGGGUAGUCCCAGCUGUAAACGAUGCAGACUCGGUGAUGGGCUAGCCUCGUGUCAGCCCAGUGCCGCAGGGAAGCCGUUAAGUCUGCCGCCUGGGGAGUACGGUCGCAAGACUGAAACUUAAAGGAAUUGGCGGGGGAGCACCACAAGGGGUGAAGCCUGCGGUUCAAUGGAGUCAACGCCGGGACCGCAGGCUGCAGCUGCCUGCUUUCCCAAA
This 974-nucleotide ribosomal RNA is filed under the name uncultured archaeon. RNAcentral describes it as "bacterial SSU rRNA". It matches the Rfam family "Archaeal small subunit ribosomal RNA", at positions 1 to 959 of the family's 1478-position model. The record is from RNAcentral.